This 131-nucleotide small nuclear RNA is filed under the name Fukomys damarensis (Damara mole-rat). Its description in RNAcentral is "U2 spliceosomal RNA". It matches the Rfam family "U2 spliceosomal RNA". Rfam says of the family: U2 is a small nuclear RNA (snRNA) component of the spliceosome (involved in pre-mRNA splicing). Complementary binding between U2 snRNA (in an area lying towards the 5' end but 3' to hairpin I) and the branchpoint sequence (BPS) of the intron results the bulging out of an unpaired adenosine, on the BPS, which initiates a nucleophilic attack at the intronic 5' splice site, thus starting the first of two transesterification reactions that mediate splicing. The record is from Rfam by way of RNAcentral. Lineage: Eukaryota; Metazoa; Chordata; Mammalia; Rodentia; Bathyergidae.
AUUGCUUCUCAGCCUUUUGGCUAAGAUCAAGUGUAGUAUAUUAGAGUUCAAUUUUUGAAAAAAAUCAAUGUGGUAAUAUUCUGAAAGAUGUAGAAACAGAUUCUAUAGAUCUGCUUUAUGUAACAAUCUCA